Gracilinanus agilis (Agile Gracile Mouse Opossum) is the source of this 107-nucleotide small nuclear RNA. The record is from RefSeq and is a predicted model, not a curated record. Lineage: Eukaryota; Metazoa; Chordata; Mammalia; Didelphimorphia; Didelphidae.
GUGCUUGAUUUGGCAGCACAUAAACCAAAAUUGGAAUAAUAUAGAGAACAUUAGCAUGGCCCCUGCUCAAGGAUGACAGAUAAAUUUAUGAAAAAAGGAAGGAAAAU